Molecule: non-coding RNA, 95 nt
Organism: Mycena galericulata
Lineage: Eukaryota; Fungi; Basidiomycota; Agaricomycetes; Agaricales; Mycenaceae
Source: the annotation of a GenBank genome assembly
AGCGUCAUAGCUCAGCUGGGAGAGCAACAGACUGAAGUAACUGAGAUGGAACAUGGUAUAUCUGGAGGUCCCGUGUUCAAUCCACGGUGAUGCUA